AUACCUUUCUCGGCCUUUUGGCUAAGAUCAAGUGUAGUAUCUGUUCUUAUCAGUUUAAUAUCUGAUAUGUGGGCCAUGUGCCCACUUUGAUAUUAAAUUUAUUUUUUGUGGGGGAGGGCCCACCACAGUGGCUUGCCACUGGGGCCCUCGCGCGUCGCCCAGGCGUUGCACUGCUGCCCGGGCCUGGCGCACCCCAA
RNAcentral lists this small nuclear RNA (197 nucleotides) under Oryza longistaminata (longstamen rice). RNAcentral's name for it is "snRNA U2". It matches the Rfam family "U2 spliceosomal RNA". From Rfam's summary of the family: U2 is a small nuclear RNA (snRNA) component of the spliceosome (involved in pre-mRNA splicing). Complementary binding between U2 snRNA (in an area lying towards the 5' end but 3' to hairpin I) and the branchpoint sequence (BPS) of the intron results the bulging out of an unpaired adenosine, on the BPS, which initiates a nucleophilic attack at the intronic 5' splice site, thus starting the first of two transesterification reactions that mediate splicing. Lineage: Eukaryota; Viridiplantae; Streptophyta; Magnoliopsida; Poales; Poaceae. The record is from RNAcentral.